This 53-nucleotide transfer RNA is filed under the name Stenella coeruleoalba (striped dolphin). RNAcentral describes it as "partial tRNA-Pro". Lineage: Eukaryota; Metazoa; Chordata; Mammalia; Artiodactyla; Delphinidae. The record is from RNAcentral.
AAGCCAUCACCACCAACACCACAAGCAUGGAAUUCUACAUAAACUAUUCCUUG